AAAGCUGGCCUUCGGGUCCGCAUUGUAAUUUGUAGAGGAUGCUUUGGGUGAAACGCCAGUCUAAGUUCCUUGGAACAGGACGUCAUAGAGGGUGAGAAUCCCGUAUGUGACUGGAAAUGUUAACCUAUGUAAAGCUCCUUCGACGAGUCGAGUUGUUUGGGAAUGCAGCUCUAAAUGGGAGGUAAAUUUCUUCUAAAGCUAAAUAUUGGCGAGAGACCGAUAGCGCACAAGUAGAGUGAUCGAAAGAUGAAAAGCACUUUGGAAAGAGAGUUAAAAAGCACGUGAAAUUGUUGAAAGGGAAGCGCUUGCAAUCAGACUUGUUUAAACUGUUCGGCCGGUCUUCUGACCGGUUUACUCAGUUUGGACAGGCCAGCAUCAGUUUCGGCGGCCGGAUAAAGGCUCUGGGAAUGUGGCCUUCACUUCGGUGAAGGUGUUAUAGCCCAGGGUGUAAUACGGCCAGCCGGGACUGAGGUCCGCGCUUCGGCUAGGAUGCUGGCGUAAUGGUUGUAAGCGACC
Molecule: ribosomal RNA, 516 nt
Filed under: Aureobasidium pullulans
Lineage: Eukaryota; Fungi; Ascomycota; Dothideomycetes; Dothideales; Saccotheciaceae
Also listed under: 1 other name
Description: partial large subunit ribosomal RNA
Rfam family: Eukaryotic large subunit ribosomal RNA
Source: RNAcentral